UACGGAGGGGGCCAGCGUUGUUCGGAAUUACUGGGCGUAAAGGGCGCGUAGGCUGCUGCGCAAGUCGAACGUGAAAUCCCUCAGCUCAACUGAGGAAUUGCGUCCGAAACUGCGUGGCUCGAGUCCCGGAGAGGGUAGCGGAAUUCCCAGUGUAGCGGUGAAAUGCGUAGAUAUUGGGAGGAACACCAGUGGCGAAGGCGGCUACCUGGACGGGUACUGACGCUGAGGCGCGAAAGCUAGGGGAGCAAACAGGAUUAGAUACCCUGGUAGUCCUAGCUGUAAACGAUGGGCACUUGGUGUUGCGGGUAUCGACCCCUGCAGUGCCGAAGCUAACGCAUUAAGUGCCCCGCCUGGGGAGUACGGUCGCAAGGCUGAA
Molecule: ribosomal RNA, 376 nt
Filed under: uncultured bacterium
Lineage: Bacteria
Description: bacterial SSU rRNA
Rfam family: Bacterial small subunit ribosomal RNA
Source: RNAcentral